UGCAGUCGGCGGUGGCGG
This 18-nucleotide unclassified non-coding RNA is filed under the name Chlamydomonas reinhardtii. Its description in RNAcentral is "small RNA Cre_3030". Lineage: Eukaryota; Viridiplantae; Chlorophyta; Chlorophyceae; Chlamydomonadales; Chlamydomonadaceae. The record is from RNAcentral.